AGUGAACGCUGGCGGUAGGCCUAACACAUGCAAGUCGAACGGCAGCACAGGAGAGCUUGCUCUCUGGGUGGCGAGUGGCGGACGGGUGAGGAAUACAUCGGAAUCUACUUUUUCGUGGGGGAUAACGUAGGGAAACUUACGCUAAUACCGCAUACGACCUACGGGUGAAAGCAGGGGAUCUUCGGACCUUGCGCGACUGAAUGAGCCGAUGUCGGAUUAGCUAGUGGGCGGGGUAAAGGCCCACCAAGGCGACGAUCCGUAGCUGGUCUGAGAGGAUGAUCAGCCAGAAUGGAAAGGAGACACGAGCCAGACUCCUGCGGGAGUCAGCAGUGGGGAAUAUUGGACAAUGGGCGCAAGCCUGAUCCAGCCAUACCGCGUGGGUGAAGAAGGCCUUCGGGUUGUAAAGCCCUUUUGUUGGGAAAGAAAUCCAGCUGGCUAAUACCCGGUUGGGAUGACGGUACCCAAAGAAUAAGCACCGGCUAACUUCGUGCCAGCAGCCGCGGUAA
This 506-nucleotide ribosomal RNA is filed under the name uncultured bacterium. Its description in RNAcentral is "partial 16S ribosomal RNA". It matches the Rfam family "Bacterial small subunit ribosomal RNA", at positions 29 to 523 of the family's 1533-position model. The record is from RNAcentral.